RNAcentral lists this ribosomal RNA (743 nucleotides) under uncultured bacterium. RNAcentral describes it as "bacterial SSU rRNA". It matches the Rfam family "Bacterial small subunit ribosomal RNA", at positions 8 to 796 of the family's 1533-position model. The record is from RNAcentral.
AGAGUUUGAUCAUGGCUCAGGGUGAACGCUGGCGGCGUGGAUAAGGCAUGCAAGUCAAGGGGGCCGCAAGGCAACCGGCAGACGAGGUAGUAACACGUAGGUACAUUCCCCGAAGUCGGGCAUAGCCAGCCGAAAGGUUGGGUAAUUCCCGAUAGUCCCGCAAGGGUAAAGGUUUUUCGCUUCGGGAGCGGCCUGCGUAAUAUCAGCUAGUUGGUGAGGUAAUGGCUCACCAAGGCUACGACGUUUAGGGGGGCUGAGAGGCCGAUCCCCACCGAUGGCACUGCGAUACGGGCCAUACCUCUACGGAGGGCUGCAGCCGAGAAUAUUCCGCAAUGGACGAAAGUCUGACGGAGCGACGCCGCGUGAUGGAUGAAGUGCUUCGGUACGUAAACAUCUUUUAUGUGGGACGAAAUUAUUGACGGUACCACAUGAAUAAGGGGCUCCUAACUCUGUGCCAGCAGGAGCGGUAAUACAGAGGCCCCGAGCGUUACCCGGAAUCACUGGGCGUAAAGGGUGUCGAGGCGGUCGUGUUAGUCGUUUGUAAAAUCCGCGAGCUUAACUUGCGGUCCGCAAGCGAAACGGCACGACUAGAGAGCGCGAGAGGUGCAUGGAACUCACGGUGGAGGGGUGAAAUCCGUUGAUAUCGUGGGGAACACCAAAGGCGAAGGCAGUGCACUGGCGCGUUUCUGACGCUCACACACGAAAGCCAGGGGAGCGAACGGGAUUAGAUACCCCGGUAGUCC